This 253-nucleotide ribosomal RNA is filed under the name uncultured bacterium. RNAcentral describes it as "partial 16S ribosomal RNA". It matches the Rfam family "Bacterial small subunit ribosomal RNA", at positions 524 to 776 of the family's 1533-position model. The record is from RNAcentral.
UACGGAGGGGGCUAGCGUUGUUCGGAAUUACUGGUGGUAAAGCGCACGUAGGCGGAUUGUUAAGUCAGGGGUGAAAUCCUGGAGCUCAACUCCAGAACUGCCUUUGAUACUGGCGAUCUCGAGUCCGGGAGAGGUGAGUGGAACUGCGAGUGUAGAGGUGAAAUUCGUAGAUAUUCGCAAGAACACCAGUGGCGAAGGCGGCUCACUGGCCCGGUACUGACGCUGAGGUGCGAAAGCGUGGGGAGCAAACAGG